UGUUUCCCAUGAAGACAACACAGUCAGCAUGUGGAAAAUGAAAGUACUGGUGUUCAAGUAUUCAUGUGAGUGAUACUUCUGCAAGGGUGGUCUUUCUCAACAACACCAUCAAGAUCUCAUGCUCUUUCUCUGGUGCUAUGCUUUAGAAUAGAAAUCCAGAUACCUAGUGCAGCACUGACAGUGGUACCGCCCUGGGGACCUGGAUAAAGUUUGGCUAUUGUGUCUGAGGAACAGAGGCUGUGC
This is a long non-coding RNA of Melozone crissalis (California towhee), 243 nucleotides long. RefSeq lists it as uncharacterized. Lineage: Eukaryota; Metazoa; Chordata; Aves; Passeriformes; Passerellidae. The record is from RefSeq and is a predicted model, not a curated record. The transcript has 3 exons.